AUGCUGCCUCCCGUUUCGCCACAGCCCCCUCCCCCCACGCAACUGUACUAUAAAAGUUUCGCCUUCCUAGGCUCGGCUGCGGUGGUGUCCGGAGCUGAUCUGCGCGGCAGUGCUGCCGCUCGCGGCCGGCGCGCGGCCGGCCGUCCCGGUGUGCUCUCCGGCGCUGGAGCGGGAGGAGGAGGAGAUGGUGACAAAGAUGGAACAGCUAAAAAAAACAUCAACAUCAAGAAGGGUGAUGCCCUGCUGCGGUGGCUGCAUCUGGUGAAUGGUGACCGGCCAUUCAACUUCCAUAGCCUUCCUUGCAUUUGGAAGAGGACUUGA
RNAcentral lists this ribosomal RNA (321 nucleotides) under Triticum aestivum (bread wheat). RNAcentral describes it as "partial small subunit ribosomal RNA". The record is from RNAcentral. Lineage: Eukaryota; Viridiplantae; Streptophyta; Magnoliopsida; Poales; Poaceae.